This 505-nucleotide ribosomal RNA is filed under the name uncultured bacterium. Its description in RNAcentral is "partial 16S ribosomal RNA". It matches the Rfam family "Bacterial small subunit ribosomal RNA", at positions 28 to 507 of the family's 1533-position model. The record is from RNAcentral.
GACGAACGCUGGCGGCGUGCCUAAUACAUGCAAGUAGAACGCACAGUUUAUACCUUAGCUUGCUACACCAUAGACUGUGAGUUGCGAACGGGUGAGUAACGCGUAGGUAACCUGCCUGGUAGCGGGGGAUAACUAUUGGAAACGAUAGCUAAUACCGCAUAAUAUUAAUUAUUGCAUGAUAAUUAAUUGAAAGGUGCAAUUGCACCACUACCAGAUGGACCUGCGUUGUAUUAGCUAGUAGGUGAGGUAACGGCUCACCUAGGCGACGAUACAUAGCCGAACUGAGAGGGUGGUCGGCCACACUGGGACUGAGACACGGCCCAGACUGCUACGGGAGGCAGCAGUAGGGAAUCUUCGGCAAUGGACGAGAGACUGACCGAGCAACGCCGAGUGAGUGAAGAAGGUUUUCGGAUCGUAAAGCUCUGUUGUAAGAGAAGAACGGGCGUGAGAGUGGAAAGUUCACACUGUGACGGUAUCUUACCAGAAAGGGACGGCUAACUACGUG